This 423-nucleotide ribosomal RNA is filed under the name uncultured bacterium. RNAcentral describes it as "partial 16S ribosomal RNA". It matches the Rfam family "Bacterial small subunit ribosomal RNA", at positions 360 to 775 of the family's 1533-position model. The record is from RNAcentral.
AAUUUGGGACAAUGGUGGAAACGCUGAUCCAGCCAUGCCGCGUGUAUGAUGAAGGCCAUCGGGUUGUAAAGUACUUUUGGUAGAGAAGAAAAGGUACCUCCUAAUACGAGGUACUGCUGACGGUAUCUGCAGAAUAAGCAACGGCUAACUACGUGCCAGCAGCCGCGGUAAUACGCAGGGUGCAAGCGUUAAUCGGAAUUACUGGGCGUAAAGCGUGUGUAGGCGGUUCAGAAAGAAAGAUGUGAAAUCCCAGGGCUCAACCUUGGAACUGCAUUUUUAACUGCCGAGCUAGAGUAUGUCAGAGGGGGGUAGAAUUCCACGUGUAGCAGUGAAAUGCGUAGAUAUGUGGAGGAAUACCGAUGGCGAAGGCAGCCCCCUGGGAUAAUACUGACGCUCAGACACGAAAGCGUGGGGAGCAAACAG